AUACGGAGGAUGCGAGCGUUAUCCGGAUUUAUUGGGUUUAAAGGGAGCGUAGGCGGGAGCUUAAGUCAGCGGUUAAAUGGUGCGGCUCAACCGUGCCCUGCCGUUGAAACUGGGUUUCUUGAGAGUGCAAGAGGCGGAUGGAAUUCAUGGUGUAGCGGUGAAAUGCUUAGAUAUCAUGAAGAACUCCGAUUGCGAAGGCAGUCCGCUGGGGCACGUCUGACGCUGAUGCUCGAAGGUGCGGGAAUCAAACAGGAUUAGAUACCCUGGUAGUCCGCACGGUAAACGAUGAUUACCCGCUGUCGGCGGUAGACAGUCGGCGGCCAAGCGAAAGCGAUAAGUAAUCCACCUGGGGAGUACGCCGGCAACGGUGAAACUCAAAGGAAUUGACGGGG
This 392-nucleotide ribosomal RNA is filed under the name uncultured bacterium. RNAcentral describes it as "partial 16S ribosomal RNA". It matches the Rfam family "Bacterial small subunit ribosomal RNA", at positions 523 to 918 of the family's 1533-position model. The record is from RNAcentral.